UUUUUUUAAGUCUUUAGUUUCAGUCAUGUCCAGGUGUCCAAAAUCUAUUGGUCCUUUAAUCCAAAACCCUAGUUUUUAGCAGUAUAAAUAGCUGCAAUUACUACUACAGUAAGGGAGAGAGAAAAAGAGUCAGAAAAACGCGUCAGAGUCAGAAAACGGGUCAGAUUGGUCCCUAUCACAUACAAACACCUUUUCCCUUUCUCUCUCAUCUAGUUACAGAUCAAAACACCACAAAAUGAUGAACAUCACAUAAACGUCAUGAACAUUCAAGUAUAAUUUCCAGAAUUAUCAACCACCACUCAAUUUUCUUUCUCGAAUUCACUCACAAACAUUACAAUACAGAUCCAAAUUCUCGUUUUCAUUGUAUACCAACACAUAAUCAAGUUCCACUAACACAACAACAACAAGAUUCAACACAGAAUUCCAGAUCGGAACCUUUAAGCACCAAACGAAAUCAAAGAGGUGAAGAAGAAGAAACGGAACCGUGACGGUGCAAGGAACGGAGCCGGAUUCACGAGCCAAGCAGCAAGGAGUUUUCCGUCAACAAGUUAUUUUUCUCCGAUCUAAACACUGAGGUAACGCUUUCUUACUUUCUCUUUUCCUCGAUCUCUUCCGUUUUGUAUUCGUAUUUGGUGAUGAAGUAAUGUUUAUAAAGAGUUUUUGUUGAUGAAGUUUUUUCUAGAUCUAGGGUUUAUGUGAACUGUUUUCAAAAAUUUGAGUGUAGAUUCGAAUAAAGAAGAAGGAGAAGAACUAGAUCCACAAAAAAAAUUUUAAAAAAGUAUAGUUUGAGUUUUCCGACGCGGUGGCUGGCUUCGUCGCCGGAAACCGGCCGGCCGCCGCGUCGGAGUUCUUUCCUCCUUCUUCCCCGGUCUGUUUCGAAAGAAAGAGAAGAGAGCUUCUCUCUCUAAGUGUGACUUAGAGAGAGAAGGAUUUUGUUUUGUGUGUGUUUUUUUGUUAAAACCGCUUUAUAUAACCUCAUCAUUUUAUUUUGUGUGGGAAUACUGCGUGCCUGCUGUUGAACCAGUAUAUCCUUCCCUUUUUCUGUUUCUUUUUAAAUCGUUGGAUCUUAGAUCCUAUGGCUGUGAUGAGAUCUUGAGAUUCAAAUCUGGACCUCUGGAUUCAUCCAACGGUCCACAUUAAAUCCUGCUGAGCCAAUUUUUUUUUAUUUCUUAUUUUUAAUUGUCUUUAUUUUUAAAUACUGUCUUUACACUUUUUUGACAUUUUUGUGUUUAGAAAAAUUCCAAAAUAUUGUUCUCAUCAUUUUAAUUUUCUCUAAUUUUAAAAAUCCAUCUUAUUUGUUUUCUUUUAAAUUUUUUUUGUUUAUUUCUUAUAUGAUGAUCUUAAUUGUUGCUUGUCUUAAUUCCUUGCUUUUUAUUUCUUAUGUCUCAUUUACCAUGAUUUUUGUUAUGCUUACUAACGAUUUAAUUUUUUGUCUUGAAUCAUAGCAUGCACAUUUAAUUUUCUCAUCAUUUUAUUUUAACAUUGACUUAGUAUGUAUAAAUAGGGAAUUGAUGUAAUUUUAUUUCUUGCAUUGGCAUAAAGGCCUUAGGGUUAUAUUUAGGAAUUGAUGUAAUAAUGUAGGUAACACAAGCACCGACACUACCACAAUUUAUUUACCGCUUUCCGCCCGUUUUUUUUACGACGUUACGUUAUUUUAGAAAAAUCUUUUUCUCAAAAAAAAAUCAAAUAUGCAAAACUUCAAAAUCAUUUUCUUAAUAACAUUUUUCCUUUAUUUUCUUAAUCAAACUCUCAAUCAAUUUUAAUUCAACUUCAAUCAUUUUCAAAAUUUAAAAUCAAUCAACCUCACUCAUUUCUUUUAUCUCAUGCCUUGAGGCCUCUUUCUCUUCUUAAAACCAUUUUCAAAAAUCUUAAAAUCAACCUAACCCACCAAAGAAAUUUUUUAGUGGAACUACGUCGGUUUUGAUCCCUUUCCCAAAAGGGUACGUAGGCAGAGGACUUGUCCUUCCAAAUCAAAUAAAAAUAACCAAAAACAUACUCCUUCUCCCUCCAUUCUUUCACUUAGAUUUUUAGGUAAUAAUUUUUCAAGUAAGCCAAAUGAAUUUAGCACAAGAUAAUCUAGGUAAGCGGUUCCUUCGGAGUACCGAAGUCGUUUAGGGUGCUUAACACCUUCCCUAUUCGAAACCAACCCCCGAAUCCAAAGUCUCGAUAAGGGUUUUUACUCAUUUUUUCCCUUCCCACGAAUAAAAAUUGAGAGUUCAAAGAUUGACGAUUCAAAUCAAUCAAUGGUUUGAUAUCCGAAAAUCGGGGAGCACAGAAUGGCGACUUCACUGGGGACUUAGAUUCUAUGCGGGUUAAACCCACCUUACUUUCUUUAUUUUGUGCUUUAUUAUUUGUUUACGCUUUGUAAAUAUUUUCUUACAUGUUUACGUGAGUGGUGAGAUAAGCUCUACACCCGAGCUUGAGGGAAACUUAAGAUAGGACGGUGGUAUAAUCAUAGUUCCAUGCCAAGAGUACUCUUCGGUAUUGGCACAUGUGAUAACCCCACUCAACGGAGGGAUCUUGGAAGUAUAUGUUGUCAACGUGAGUACUCAUGUUUGGCAUGCUAUUUUCAAGUGACCUUUGAAGUUGAGGACCUUUAGUCACCUUUAACCCAUCUUGGCCUUUUAGGACGUAGUGCGGUGGCUAAUCGAGAGUACUCUUGAAUUAGUUGAUACGCGAUACUACACCCAAACGAGACUUUCCGACGAAUAUAAUUGGAAUGGGAGUACUCCCGUCACCCGAUAAAUAUUCGGAAGUGGUUAAAGACUUUGGGAACUUGGUAGAACCCUUGUUACAAGUGCAAUUUAAAACCUUAGUCCUUACCAAAUGGCGUUGUUACCCUUUGACUCCAACAUCCUAUGUGCUUUAGUAUUAUCAUGCAUACAUGCAUCCAUUCAUAAAUAUUUUUUCCAUUCAUCAAAAUUUUUUUGAAGGACUUAUAAAAGCUUUGUUGUAAACAUUGUAGAUAUGAGGAGCCUUAGGCAGUAUAGUUUCAGGAAGCCAGAUCUCUUGAGUUUGAGGAAGCUAGGGAAGAAAGUGGUUUGUACGGACGAUUUCUACAAGCAACAUGGAAAUUUGAUGGGUGUUGUUAAGACAGAUAUUGACGAAGGGCUUCUCAACGCUUUUGUUCAGUUCUAUGACCCGGGCUACCAUUGCUUUACUUUUCAAGAUUACCAGAUCCUUCCCACCUUGGAGGAGUACUCUUGUUGGAUUAAUCUACCAGUGUUGGACAAAGUACCUUUCAGUGGCCUCGAGGAAACUCCCAAGCACUCAACCAUUGCCGCAGCCCUCCAUCUUGAAACGGACGAAGUGAAAGCACAUCUCAUCACUAGGGGGAAAUUUUUGGGUUUCUCCACCGAUUUCCUUUACGAAAGGACCACAUUCUUUGACAAAAUGGGGGUUGCCUAUGCUUUUAACUCCAUCCUUGCCUUGCUUAUUUAUGGCCUCGUACUCUUCCCUAGCCUCGACAACUUUGUGGACAUCAAGGCUAUCCAAAUUUUCUUGUCAAGGAACCCUGUCCCUACCUUAUUAGGUGAUACCUAUCUCUCCAUCCAUAGACGCACCCAAGCUGGUCGUGGAACUAUCCUUUGUUGUGCACAAUUGCUAUAUCGGUGGAUCACCUCUCACUUACCCCGAACUCCUCGCUUCACCACCAAUCCAGAAAACCUUCUUUGGUCAAAAAGACUCAUGUCCCUUACUCCAGCCGAGGUAGUGUGGUACGAUCGGGUUUAUGACAAAGGAACCAUUAUUGACAGUUGUGGGAAAUUCUCCAAUGUACCACUUCUUGGGUUGGAAGGAGGAAUUAGCUACAAUCCUACUCUUGCCCGACGCCAAUUCGGAUACCCCAUGGAAGGGAAGCCUCUCAGCAUCUAUCUAGAGAAUGUGUAUUACCUCAACAUAGAUGACAGUAAAGGAAUGAAGGAGCAAGUUGUGCAAGCUUGGCACACCAUUCGUAGAAGAGACAAAGGCCAGUUAGGGAAAAAGACAGGUGCCGUUCAUGAAUCAUACACUCAGUGGGUGAUAGAUAGAGCUGUCCAAAUUGGGAUGCCUUACAAGAUAUCAAGAUUUGUAUAUGCAAUCACUCCGGCACCACCCCUACCUAUGACCUUUGACACCGAGAAGGAAUACCAAGAGUGUUUAGCUGAGGCGGAACGUGAAGUACAUAGGUGGAAAAGAGAGCAUCAGAAAAAGGAUCAGGAGUAUGAGGCUGUAAUGGUCCUACUAGAGCAAGAAGCCUAUGAUAGCCACAAGAAAGAUGUGAUAAUCGCCCAGCUGAAAAAAAGUAUCAAGGAGAAAGAUGUUGCACUUGAUCAAAUUCCCGGGCGAAAGAAGAAACGCAUGGAUCUCUUUGAUGGGCCGCAGUCCGAUUUUGAGGAUUAGUUCGCUUCAGAUGCUUGAGAGUCUUUUAGUUUGUUUUUGAUGUUUUUUAGUUUUGGAGUCUAUCCCUUGGCUCACUUUGUUGAAAGGGAAUUAUCUUGUUUUAUUUUGAAAGUUUAUCCCUUGGCUUUGUUGUUAGAAAGGGAAUUAUCUUGUAAUGACUAUGUCUGUUUUAAUAUAUGUUUAUAAAAUUGCUUCUAUAGGUCCUUCGAUAAAAAGAUAUAUAAAAAUUGCAUAUUUUGGCAUAUAGCAUAUCAUGCAUCAUAUCGCAUUCAUACAAAACCAAGUCUCAUACUCUCCUCAUUUCUGCCUCAGAAAAGUAAGGUGGCCCGACGUAUUUAGUACAAACCCACUCGCAUUCACAACACUCGAUCCCAUACCAAGAAGAGGAUGUUAGCGGCAGAACAGGAAAACGCUCAGCUCAGAGAAGAGCUUGGUAACCUCAAGGGCGAGAUGGAAAGGAUGGCAAUUAUGAUGGAAACUAUGAUGGCUGAGAGAGAGCGAGCGGCAAUCUCAGAGUCAACUCCUGUUGUGGUCGUCACAACCGCACCCGAGGGUUCCCCGCAGCCAACUCCUACUGCUGCUGCAACUGUCGGCCUUACCCAGCCUCUGAUGACCGAUUUUUCUUCUGGUAAUAUGGCAAAUAUGGGCAACUCAGGCUUUCGUCCUUUUGGCCCCCAGGGUUUUUUCUCCACUCCUCAGUAUUCCAUGCCUCCAGGCUACCCAUGGGGCAUGCCGCUUGCAGUUAAUGGGGGUUUUCGUCCAAGCGCUACUGAAAUGCCAUUCGCUCACGGUCAACAGGCUUCGCCACUUUUCCAGAUGAGUCAGUUAAUUCCUCAGGCUACUAUGACUCAAGCAGGACCUACGGUGCAUGUUGAGCCACAGCACGAAGAGCAGAUUUACCAUUCCGACAGUGUGAUGGGGGAUGACAGAGCAGUCAACUAGGAAGAGAGAUUUGGUGCUUUAGAGAAAGAAAUGAGUAACAUGCGUAGAAAAGAAGCAGUCGUCCAGAAUAUAUACGACUUUUGCUUGGUACCAGAUGUGGAUAUACCUCCAAAAUUCAAGAUGCCUGUGUUUGAAAAAUAUCAAGGGGAUACAUGUCCACAAAACCAUCUGACUAUGUAUAUCAUGAAGAUGAUAGCCUACAAGAACAAUGUGCCUUUGCUCAUUCAUUGCUUCCAGGACAGUUUGACCGGUCCUGCACAUACCUGGUUUAUGGGAUUGAAGGGCAUCACUACAUUUGAACAGUUGGCUGACGCUUUCAUGCAGCAAUACAAGUACAACACAUAUCUGGCGCCUAGUCGCAAAGAGUUGCAGUCCUUGACCCAAAAAGACAAAGAGUCAUUCAAAGAGUAUGCCCAGCGCUUCAUCCAGACGGCCGCCCAGAUUCGUCCGCCCCUGGAUGAGAGGGAAUUAUCAGAAAUAUUUUACGAAACCUUGAGCCCUUGCUAUUCAGAAAAAAUGAUUGUUUGUGCAUCACAGAAGUUCACUGACCUAGUGGAGACAGGGAUACGUAUUGAGGAAUGGGCUCGUAAGGGAGCUGGUGCUUCGGGAAGUUCUUCAGGUAGUUCUGCUCGAAGUUCGUCUAAUGGUAACAAGAAGUUUGGGAAUGGUUACUCAAAGAGGAAUACUCAAGAAGUCGGCAUGGUGGCCCAUGGCGGAUCUCAACUUGUGCACCCUAAUCAUCCUUAUGUUGCCAACAUUACCCCAUAAAUGACCGCUCCCCAGAACCCAAACUACCAACCACCAAGACCUCAAGGACCUUCACCAUACUAUCCACCACUAUAUCAACAACCAUACAACCCACAACAAUUUCCUCAACAACCAUAUUACCCCCAACAGCCAUACCAGCAAAGACCACACUAUCCACCACAAAAACAACCCCGUCCUCAGGCUCCCUACAAUCAAAGACAACAGUUUGAUCCCAUACCUAUGACUUACGGAGCAUUACUACCUUCGUUACUUGCACAAAACCUGGUUUAAACAGCACCGCCUCCUUUCAUUCCAGACCCUCUCCCAUGCUGGUACCGUCCUGACCUUCAUUGUGUUUAUCAUCAAGGGGCACCAGGUCAUGAUGUGGAACGUUGUUAUGCCCUCAAGAAAGAGGUCCAAAAACUGAUCAAUAGUAAAGAGUUAAUCUUUACCGACCCUGAUCCUGUAGUCCAGAACAAUCCUCUGCCUCCCCAUGGGCCUGCUGUUAACAUGAUCCAAGACUGUCAGGAAGAGGUUUGCAUUCCCUACGCAUGUUGUCGCGCCAUUUUUCGGACGUCAAAGGCCAUUUGAUUGACUUUUGACUCACUUUUUAUCUCACGACUGAACAAAAUUUUUUUUUAAGGGGAAAACGUUCCAAACAACCCAUUUUGAAGAGAUUUAGGGUUCGGGGGUGAAGCCAGACGCGUGUGGGCUUGGAUUGGACCGGUUCAGACCGGUUCCAAGGUUGAACCGGUUCAGUCUAGCAUUAUAAAUAGGCAUCUCCGGUUUUUUUUUAUCAUUUUUAUUUUUCCUUCUCUCUCUUCUCUUAUUUCUAGAGAGAGAGGCUCUGCCUUCUCUCUAGAAUCCUUCAUCUUCUCCGAUGAGAAGAGAGGUGGCCGGAGGAGGUUCCGGCGCGGUGGCCGGUGAGUUUUCACGGCGGCGCCACCGCGCCGGAGUCAAAAACUCCUCUUUUUUUGAUNAGUCAGAAAACGGGUCAGAUUGGUCCCUAUCACAUACAAACACCUUUUCCCUUUCUCUCUCAUCUAGUUACAGAUCAAAACACCACAAAAUGAUGAACAUCACAUAAACGUCAUGAACAUUCAAGUAUAAUUUCCAGAAUUAUCAACCACCACUCAAUUUUCUUUCUCGAAUUCACUCACAAACAUUACAAUACAAAUCCAAAUUCUCGUUUUCAUUGUAUACCAACACAUAAUCAAGUUCCACUAACACAACAACAACAAAAUUCAACACAGAAUUCCAGAUCGGAACCUUUAAGCACCAAACGAAAUCAAAGAGGUGAAGAAGAAGAAACGGAACCGUGACGGUGC
This 7397-nucleotide long non-coding RNA is filed under the name Medicago truncatula (barrel medic). RNAcentral's name for it is "long non-coding RNA (MTRU_LNC002667)". Lineage: Eukaryota; Viridiplantae; Streptophyta; Magnoliopsida; Fabales; Fabaceae. The record is from RNAcentral.